GUCUUUGGACGACAUCUGAAUGACACACAACGUGAUAGUACAUUGACUCCAGUGCACUUGAAGUUGUCCGGUGAUCUGUCCAUGGAUGGAUCCUGAGUGUCCAAGGCUCGCCCCAGCAGAGCAUCCUGUGUCAAGGAUGGAAGUGGGUGUGUGUUCCAUGGCUCGCUCUUGCUCCCUGUGCUCCCCAAGGAGGCCAAGUGGAGAUAUUUCAGGGUGGGAGCCUGCUACAGCCCUCAGCAUCCCAGGUCCCCAUGUAGGAGUUUUCUGUAGGACACAUCGGGGUAGUCCUUUCAGUCCCUUAGCUCAGCUCAGGAGUCCACUGGACCCCGUCAUCAUCUGUUUGCACCUUCCCAACCUGCUCGGUGCAGACAGCCUGCCCAGGCUAUGUCCUGGGCGCCCUGGGACUCUGCGUAAGUGGAUAGUUCCAUGUUUGAGGGACUCAUGUACCUUGGGCACGGUGUGUUUCGUGUUAAGCUUCGUUCACCCCCUUCCCCACUUGGAAAUCCCUGCUGGUUUCUCCAGGAGGUCACCAAAGAAGGCCACUGUCCCACAGACUCCCUGCGGAAAUGCAUGCGGUCCCAUCAGGCAGGCACACCCAGCCUCACGAGAGCCCGGGUCCUGGGCCGGCACAAGAGACCCUGUGUUGAGGUGGUUGGUUUGCAGAUCGCUCCGAUGAAGCAGCUUGUGAAGGAGGUUCCCCGGGCAGCCUCCAGGGAGUUCUUCUGAAGUGGUUGACAAUUAAUUUGGUGGAUGAUUUCAUCCCGCUGGAUCAUUAUCCUGGGAGCCACUCCACAGAACAAAGGACCAGGGCAGAUGUGGGGCUGGGUGUGUCUGGGUAACAGCCGGGGCUCCGGAGAAAGAAGGUCUUUGUCAUGCUGGGGGCCUCCCUGGGGAUCUGAGCUGGGAGAGCAGCCAGAAGCGGGCCGGCUGUGCGGGCGGGUGUGCUCACGUUGGGGGCGUGUCCCUGGGCGGUCCCCGUUGACCCUACGGAGCCAGCCGGACGUUUGGGGACAACUCCCGAGGAGGAAAUCAUUCUGCAGAGAUGGCACAAUCCAGGAAGGGCAUGGAGCAGCCAGUCUGCCCAGAUUGUCCUCUUCUCCGGGGCUGGAUCCCACCGUCUUUCCACCUUCAGAAAAAAGCAACGCGUGUAGGAAAAUGAAAUCAGGAAUGACUCCCUACGCCCUGGACGCUCGGGUGUUGUUCUUGUCGGGUGAUUGGACUUAGGAAGAGUUUUCUUUGCUCCCUUUUUGCACAAUUCUGUAUUUUAUUUUGGUGACAGAUACUGGAGGGUCCAUUGUGUAGAUCUUUUCCAAGAACCAGAGUUUCCUCUCUUUGAUUUUUUUUUUUCUUCUUCUUCUGUCGAUUUCCUGUUCGUCAUUGCACGGAUUUCUUCUUUCGUGUUUGGUCUUUCUUCUGCUUCUGGAUGUGCUCACCCUUCCCCUGACUUUUCUUUCUACGGUGUCGGAAAAACACAGGUUGGCAGCCAAGGGAUACAGAAGCGUGUCCCCAGAACGUGCCGCAUUUCAGGACAGCUGCUCUGAGAUCUGGGGGCUUGUGUUUCUUGGAAAAGAAGAUCUGGGGGCACCUCAGAGGGCUCCAUUGGCGAAGCAACUGCCUUCGGCUCAGGUCGUGAUCCCAGGGUCAUGGGAUGGUGUUCUGCUUCAGGCUUCCAUUGUUCCUCUGGAAUGUUCCAGAAACAAUGUCACACACCGCAGUUGGGGUCCCAGGCUCCUUAAUUUAUUUUUUCUGCCAUUGACCUUCAUGUCCCAAAGGGGUGGUGUGUAGUUGUUCGAAACGGGUCUGACUUUCACUGCCCUGCCAUGAUGGGGCUCGCAUGGGAAUGUGCCUUAGGUCAAAAUUGUGGUCUGUGGCUCCUGCCCCUCCCGGGCGAGAGUCAGGCCCGGGAUGUAGCAGACGGACCCUUCCCUCGGUUUCUUGGUUCAUGAUGGGAUCCCAUCGUGCUUGCCGUCUACCUGGCUCACCUGCCUCUUGAGAAGGUGAAGAAGGAUUGAUUGUUACCCUAAUGUAGGGACUCGGCUGGGGAAUAGUUUCCGGUGUCUGUCUUGGACCCUCAGGCCCCUUCCCUCCUGAAGCCUCCUGGGGGAUGAUGUGGGAGCCCUGUAGUCAUUGGGGAAGCAGGAUUGAGCUAUGGGAACUGGAUAUCCCUGAAGAUGGGGAAGGAAGGUUGGAGGGAGAUGGUUGGGGGCAAGCAGAGUCUCAUCAUGUUGUCCAGGAGUGCCUUUCAUCCUAGAGGCUGUGGCUUGAAGUGGGAACCCUUAGCAGCAGUGAAUGGAAGACGUUCUACAUCUGGCUGUGAUUUCUCCAAGAACAUGUUCUUUGGUCAAGACUUUCAGGAUGCCCGGAUUUCGUAUACGGCAUGUCUUCCCUGCAUUUGCAGUUCAUUGAACACCUCUUGAGUGAACUCUUUGGUUGCAUGAUGGCUCGCUACUAUGAGCUCAUCACCAAGACCAAAGUGGUUCUCCAGGUGGGGUGUGGAGAGCCUUCUGGUGACUCCAUGAGUCAAGGGUCCUUUCAUGGUACCAUGAAGAUAUUUUUCAUCCUUUUCUCUCUUUCUCUCUCUCUUGCCUGGGCAUGUGGCUAUUUCCGGAGGCUCCCCGACCUUGGGACGGUAUCACCUGUGACCAUCAGCAGACUGUCCUUACUCACUCUUCUGUUUUAGACAUUUGUGCUUUGCUUGCUGAUACGGUUACUAUCUCCAGAGAGCGAUGCCCACAAACAAGCAGACAUGGGUUACGGUCCCCGAUCUGUUUCUGAAGGUCUUUGCCAAAGAAUCUUGAGAUCGGGGAGCUUGAAAACUCUUGUUUUAAACCAGUGCCCCAGUCUAAGAGGUUCUUGACGGACCACCAACAGGGACUGACUGAUGGGGAAUCUUAUGUACAGAGAGCCUUCAGGGAAUGAAACGCCUCACUAUGCCCCAAUUAUGUGGCUUGAAUUCUCGUUUUUCAUCUUGCGCCACCGAAGGGAACGGGUCGCUUGGUUCAAAAUCGAAUGCUACCGGUUGCAUUGCUUCUUAGGAACUCUGGGUGUCCCCAUCGUGAUGUAGGUUUGGGUUAUCUUUGCAAAGGCAUCAUUUAGGCUGUUCUGAAAGUGAUAAUUAGCGUGUCCCCUGGGCGAGGAACUGCAGAGUUUAUUUGGGGGACAUUAAAAGAUAGGAUGUAGUUUACAUUUCCCAGAAGCUUACUAAUACUGAUAACUGAGAAAAGGUCAUUGUGUUCAGGGUUGUAAUCAAGGUGCCAAGAAGGAACUGGGAUCUGAUAGCAGAUGUUCAGGGCUGAGUAGGGUUUCGGGUAAACACAAGUGGGGAGGAAGCACGCAGCUUCUGAGGCGCUCCAGGACCAAGUUCUCCUAAUGCUUUUGGUCUCCGCACCCCCAGCCUCCCUCACACAUGGAAACUUUCUGAGUCACUCUUCCUGGUGUCCGUCUUCUUCUUCAGUGGGAAGAAACCGCAAACCCGGUGUUUAUCAGGAGGUUACCCUGUGUGAGGCAUCGAGAUAAGUAAAGACAUGUGAUCCGAGAAAACGCAGAUAAUUCAGGGCACCUAAGAGAAGACUGAUGAAAACCAAAAGAGGAACACAGGAGACCUUUUUAGAGUCCUGUUUUCAGGGAAGUUGGAGAAGAUACUGUUUCCAUCAGCGAAAAUAGGAUGUAACAGCGAAAGAGAAACCAUUGUGAUUGGGAUUGCGGAAAGUUUAAAUAAUUAAAACAGUAAAUUCCCCCAGAUCAAAGGGUGUCUUGGUCCUGCUUGCUUCAUGUCCACUCACCAUGGAGGUGUUGGCUGCCAGAGGCACAGCUCUGAUCUACACCUUUCUCUUGAGUGAGCAUGGGGGGCAUGUCUCUGAAGCAGUGUCUGUUGGGGGUCCACAUCUCCCCAAAACCAGGAAGCCCAUUGUUGUACAUUCCUGGGGCUGUUCUGACAAAUCCCUGCAAACCUGGUGGCUUACAAGAACAGAAAUUUAUGCUCCCCCAGCUCUGGAGACCAGAGUCUGAGAUCCAGGUGGGGAGGGCCAUGUUCCUCUUCAGGUCUGCAGGGAGGGUCCUUCCUGCCUCUUCCAGCUUCUGGGGCUCCAGGCAUUCCUGGGCUGGUGGCCAUGUCUUUCCAUCUCUGCCUCCCAUCUUCAUGUGGCUUCUUCUCUGUAUCUGUGUCCCUGCUCUUCUGUGUCUUACCCUUAUCAUUGGAUUUAGGGCCAUCCUAAAGCAGGAUGACCUCUUCUUGAAAUCUUCAACUUCAUUACAUCUGCAAAGACCCUGUUUCCAAAUAAUACCACAUUCGCAUGUACUAGGGCUCAGGACAUGGACCUGCCUCUCUGGGUGGACACAGUUCAGCCCAUGACACCCUUCAUCCUUGACAUGUCCACAGGAUGGUGCCAUGUGGAAUUUUGGACCUUCUUCCCCCAAACCAAACCACUCAGCAGAUCCCUGAACACCUGCCAAGGCUUCUGGUAGAUGACCGCAGCUUCUCAUGCUGACACCAUCCCCUGGAGACUUGUCCACCCUCCCUCUGCUUCCCACCACCCCCCUCCACUGCCGCCAUCUUGGCUCUGCAUCUCCCUGUCACCCCUGCUCUUCACCCUUGGCUCUAGGCUCUGUCCUGAUUGGUAUCACUGCCCUGGCUCUUCCUCCCAGUGGCUUCUAUCAUGACAAGGACAUCUUUAAAACAAAA
Long non-coding RNA from Mustela erminea (ermine), 4681 nucleotides. RefSeq lists it as uncharacterized. The transcript is spliced from 2 exons. The record is from RefSeq and is a predicted model, not a curated record. NCBI's taxonomy places the organism in Eukaryota, Metazoa, Chordata, Mammalia, Carnivora, Mustelidae.